UGGGGAAUUUUGGACAAUGGGGGCAACCCUGAUCCAGCAAUGCCGCGUGUGUGAAGAAGGCCUUCGGGUUGUAAAGCACUUUUGUCCGGAAAGAAAACGCCGUGGUUAAUACCCGUGGCGGAUGACGGUACCGGAAGAAUAAGCACCGGCUAACUACGUGCCAGCAGCCGCGGUAAUACGUAGGGUGCAAGCGUUAAUCGGAAUUACUGGGCGUAAAGCGUGCGCAGGCGGUCCGCUAAGACAGAUGUGAAAUCCCCGGGCUUAACCUGGGAACUGCAUUUGUGACUGGCGGGCUAGAGUAUGGCAGAGGGGGGUAGAAUUCCACGUGUAGCAGUGAAAUGCGUAGAGAUGUGGAGGAAUACCGAUGGCGAAGGCAGCCCCCUGGGCCAAUACUGACGCUCAUGCACGAAAGCGUGGGGAGCAAACAGGAUUCAGAUACCCUGGUAGUCCACGCCCUAACGAUG
This 464-nucleotide ribosomal RNA is filed under the name uncultured bacterium. RNAcentral describes it as "partial 16S ribosomal RNA". It matches the Rfam family "Bacterial small subunit ribosomal RNA", at positions 355 to 811 of the family's 1533-position model. The record is from RNAcentral.